UAGCCUUGAAUGUCCAUUCAGCUUUUGAACAGAAGGAAAGGCAAUACGCUUCUUAGGAUCUGCUGAACAUGGUGAAUAAGUGAAUGCAUCAACCAAUCGCAGGACACCUCAGAUUGUUGAUUGUAUUGACACUGAUCUUGGAAACUAAAGCGGAACGUGAAACUUGUACCACCAGAGAACGUUCGUGUUUGACCACAUGGCUAAG
Long non-coding RNA from Schistocerca cancellata (South American locust), 205 nucleotides. RefSeq lists it as uncharacterized. The record is from RefSeq and is a predicted model, not a curated record. NCBI's taxonomy places the organism in Eukaryota, Metazoa, Arthropoda, Insecta, Orthoptera, Acrididae. The transcript is spliced from 3 exons.